This 1302-nucleotide ribosomal RNA is filed under the name metagenome. RNAcentral describes it as "bacterial LSU rRNA". It matches the Rfam family "Bacterial large subunit ribosomal RNA", at positions 1635 to 2925 of the family's 2925-position model. The record is from RNAcentral.
CACACGACCGUACCGCAAACCGACACUGGUGCGCGAGAUGAGUAUUCUAAGGCGCUUGAGAGAACUCAGGAGAAGGAACUCGGCAAAUUGACACCGUAACUUCGGAAGAAGGUGUGCCUUUAGUAGGUGAAGUCCCUCGCGGAUGGAGCCCAAUGAGGUUGCAAAGAAUCGGUGGCUGCGACUGUUUAUUAAAAACACAGCACUCUGCAAACACGAAAGUGGACGUAUAGGGUGUGACGCCUGCCCGGUGCUGGAAGAUUAAAUGAUGGGGUGCAAGCUCUUGAUUGAAGUCCCAGUAAACGGCGGCCGUAACGAUAACGGUCCUAAGGUAGCGAAAUUCCUUGUCGGGUAAGUUCCGACCUGCACGAAUGGCGUAACGAUGGCCACACUGUCUCCUCCUGAGACUCAGCGAAGUUGAAAUGUUUGUGAUGAUGCAAUCUCCCCGCGGAAAGACGGAAAGACCCCAUGAACCUUUACUGUAGCUUUGUAUUGGACUUUGAACAGAUCUGUGUAGGAUAGGUGGGAGGCUUUGAAGCAGGGUCGCUAGAUCUUGUGGAGCCAACGUUGAAAUACCACCCUGGUGUGUUUGAGGUUCUAACCUAGGCCCGUAAUCCGGGUUGGGGACAGUGCAUGGUAGGCAGUUUGACUGGGGCGGUCUCCUCCCAAAGUGUAACGGAGGAGUUCGAAGGUACGCUAGUUACGGUCGGACAUCGUGACGAUAGUGCAAUGGCAUAAGCGUGCUUAACUGCGAGACUGACAAGUCGAGCAGAUGCGAAAGCAGGACAUAGUGAUCCGGUGGUUCUGUAUGGAAGGGCCAUCGCUCAACGCAUAAAAGGUACUCUGGGGAUAACAGGCUGAUACCGCCCAAGAGUUCAUAUCGACGGCGGUGUUUGGCACCUCGAUGUCGGCUCAUCUCAUCCUGGGGCUGUAGCCGGUCCCAAGGGUAUGGCUGUUCGCCAUUUAAAGAGGUACGUGAGCUGGGUUUAAAACGUCGUGAGACAGUUUGGUCCCUAUCUUCCGUGGGCGCUGCAGAUUUGAGGAAGCCUGCUCCUAGUACGAGAGGACCGGAGUGGACGCACCUCUGGUGUAUCGGUUGUCACGCCAGUGGCAUUGCCGAGUAGCUAUGUGCGGAAGAGAUAACCGCUGAAAGCAUCUAAGCGGGAAACUCGUUUCAUGAUGAGAUCUGCCGGGGCCUUGAGCCCCCUGAAGAGUCGUUCAAGACCAGGACGUUGAUAGGUCGGGUGUGGAAGCGCAGUAAUGCGUUAAGCUAACCGAUACUAAUUGCUCGUGCGGCUUGACCCC